RNAcentral lists this ribosomal RNA (482 nucleotides) under uncultured bacterium. RNAcentral's name for it is "partial 16S ribosomal RNA". It matches the Rfam family "Bacterial small subunit ribosomal RNA", at positions 30 to 507 of the family's 1533-position model. The record is from RNAcentral.
AUUGAACGCUGGCGGCAUGCUUUACACAUGCAAGUCGAACGGUAACAGGCCGCAAGGUGCUGACGAGUGGCGCACGGGUGAGUAAUGCAUCGGAACGUGCCCAGUCGUGGGGGAUAACUACUCGAAAGAGUAGCUAAUACCGCAUACGAUCUAUGGAUGAAAGCGGGGGACCGUAAGGCCUCGCGCGAUUGGAGCGGCCGAUGUCAGAUUAGGUAGUUGGUGGGGUAAAGGCUCACCAAGCCAACGAUCUGUAGCUGGUCUGAGAGGACGACCAGCCACACUGGGACUGAGACACGGCCCAGACUCCUACGGGAGGCAGCAGUGGGGAAUUUUGGACAAUGGGCGCAAGCCUGAUCCAGCAAUGCCGCGUGCAGGAAGAAGGCCUUCGGGUUGUAAACUGCUUUUGUACGGAACGAAACGGCUCUGGUUAAUACCCGGGACUAAUGACGGUACCGUAAGAAUAAGCACCGGCUAACUACGUG